This 71-nucleotide transfer RNA is filed under the name Mycoplasmopsis mustelae. RNAcentral's name for it is "Mycoplasma mustelae tRNA". It matches the Rfam family "tRNA". Rfam says of the family: Transfer RNA (tRNA) molecules are approximately 80 nucleotides in length. Their secondary structure includes four short double-helical elements and three loops (D, anti-codon, and T loops). Further hydrogen bonds mediate the characteristic L-shaped molecular structure. tRNAs have two regions of fundamental functional importance: the anti-codon, which is responsible for specific mRNA codon recognition, and the 3' end, to which the tRNAs corresponding amino acid is attached (by aminoacyl-tRNA synthetases). tRNAs cope with the degeneracy of the genetic code in two manners: having more than one tRNA (with a specific anti-codon) for a particular amino acid; and 'wobble' base-pairing, i.e. permitting non-standard base-pairing at the 3rd anti-codon position. Lineage: Bacteria; Bacillati; Mycoplasmatota; Mycoplasmoidales; Metamycoplasmataceae. The record is from Rfam by way of RNAcentral.
GGGGGUUUAGUAUAGUGGUAUUAUGACAGUCUCCAAAACUGAGGAUAAGGGUUCGAUUCCUUUAACCCCCG